GACGAACGCUGGCGGCGUGCUUAACACAUGCAAGUCGAACGAAGAGCGAUGGAUGCUUGCUUCUAUCAAUCUUAGUGGCGAACGGGUGAGUAACGCGUAAUCAACCUGCCCUUCAGAGGGGGACAACAGUUGGAAACGACUGCUAAUACCGCAUACGAUCUAACCUCGGCAUCGAGGAUAGAUGAAAGGUGGCCUCUACAUGUAAGCUAUCACUGAAGGAGGGGAUUGCGUCGGAUUAGCUAGUUGGAGGGGUAACGGGCCACCAAGGCGAUGAUCAGUAGCCGGUCUGAGAGGAUGAACGGCCAAAAUGGGACUGAGACACGGCCCAGACUCCUACGGGAGGCAGCAGUGGGGAAUCUUCCGCAAUGGACGAAAGUCUGACGGAGCAACGCCGCGUGAGUGAUGACGGCCUUCGGGUUGUAAAGCUCUGUUAAUCGGGACGAAAGGCCUUCUUGCGAAUAGUGAGAAGGAUUGACGGUACCGGAAGAGAAAGCCACGGCUAACUACGUG
RNAcentral lists this ribosomal RNA (510 nucleotides) under uncultured bacterium. RNAcentral's name for it is "partial 16S ribosomal RNA". It matches the Rfam family "Bacterial small subunit ribosomal RNA", at positions 28 to 507 of the family's 1533-position model. The record is from RNAcentral.